Long non-coding RNA from Macrobrachium nipponense, 2684 nucleotides. RefSeq lists it as uncharacterized. The record is from RefSeq and is a predicted model, not a curated record. The transcript is spliced from 2 exons. Lineage: Eukaryota; Metazoa; Arthropoda; Malacostraca; Decapoda; Palaemonidae.
UCCUGGUCAGCGCAUUUAGCCUGAUGAAAGUUUUUUACAGACAUGUUAUUCCUUGCAAUCCAGCCAUAUUUUAAAAGUUAAGUUGAGUCAUUGUGGUUCGAUAUUUUAUAACUCAAAAACUCAAGGCUAAAACUGCGAUCGGGACUUUGCAAAGGAGCAUUUAUUGUCAUGACCCGAAAUAGUGUUACCUCUAAUUUAUAUAGAUUUGUACGGGUGUUCCACUUGUUUUUUGUGUGUUUUCUAAUCACUACGGUGCUUAACGACGCUAUCCAUGUAUCUGUAUAAAUACAGACGUCCACUGCGUAAACGCAUAUUCACUGUUUAAUAUGAUUUGUUACGUAAGGGAUUAAUAAUCACCCAAAAUGAUAAAAUUAACAUAGUAUAUGAUUAUGAUAUUUCAGUAGAACUUCUGGAAACAGACACUCAAAGAUAAAAACUCGCAGUAGCGAAAUCUCAAUGAUGUAGAUAAUUUCUGUAAAAAAGUAAGAUUAAGAAUGUGUCGUAACUUCAGCCACAGGAAUAACGAAAUUCGACCUGUAAAGGAAACACUCAAAGUUACUCCAAAUGAAUAAAAAACUGUACAUAGCUUGCUUUUGUGGGAAGUCACGGUGUUCCGAUAACGACACACGGCCUUGGUCCUCCUCCUCUAUUUAGCGGACGACCUGGUUUGGCUUCAAUUUCCCCCGUGCGCGUUGUUUCGAUGAUUCGAGCCCUUGAAAGAUCAGAUGCUGCAGACGCGUUCGGUUUGUUUCUUGAAGUGCCGGAAACGCUCACUAACGAUGUUUUCUUGAAUGAUUCUAAUGAGAGACGAAGCUUGCGUUGCCGUAGGAAAAAGACACGUCGGUUUUGUUUCUUGAAGUUAUUCACUAAACGAGGAUACUAAGUUGCUUGAAGAAUCUCUUGCUUUGCGUCGUCGGUAAAGAGUUCUUGUUGUUUUCUGAAGUCGCUCACUAAACUAUGAUAAUAAGUUGGUUGAAGAAUCUGCUGCUUCCGUCGUCGUUGACUUCUUAUGAUACAUGAUUUAUUAUUCUGGUUUUUUCUUCGUAGGACGUUGUAGAGUUCUUCUGGUCCACUGCCACCAAUAGUGCUUGUGCCUUGUAUGAUAAGGCGCCCUAUGAGGUAAUGUUAGACUUGCGAUAAUCAUACGCUAAGUCGGUUGGUAUUGCACUUCCAUAUUCGUGGGAGUGUCUUGGGGUUUGUAGAUCACUUACGAAGUCGGUAUUAUGUUCUUGGUUAUUACGACGAUGUGUUAAACUCAUGAUGAUGAUUCGGUGAGGAGGUUCUUGUAGAAAACACAAAGUAUAAAAAUAUAUGUAUUCUUCUGAAGUUUUACAUGCUGAAGAUCAGAUAUGAUUGUACAAGUCUUCUAAUAACGAUAGCUUGAUCGCUUCUGCCAAUGAUGAUGGCUAAUCCUAUUCCUCUACAUGAUAAAGCUUAGGUAAAGAGGUACAGGUCUUCUAAUGACGAUAGCUAACUCUGUUCUCUCUACAUCUCUGUUACAAGUUAUGAAGGAAGCAGAUAGUAGCUCGAACAUAUGAACAUACUAUCAGAUGACAUAGUUACAUACGAACACACAAUCAAAAUGAGACACGCUACAGAUCACGUAGGCCGUAGUUGUCUCAAGCAGGGAGCUUGGACUAAUGUUUAUAAACAAUUGAAUGACUACAGGUGACGGCAUGUUAUCUUAGCCUACAUACUUAUUGUAUACGUCAUCUUUAGCGUCUCUAGUCUGAUCACAUUCCUGCAAGCAAUCUGGUCUUUUAUAUAUAUGGACUAACAUUCCAUAUUUUUAUUAUGUAAACACUUACAGAUAUACUCUCAAAUAGGGAUAACUCUGAAGAAGUCUUGGGGAAAAGAUCACAAAGAAAGACUGCCCUUGCGAGUAGAUAGAAAACCAGAUUUAUGUUAAAAGAUUAAAAUUAAGUUUAAAUUUGUUGUACUGAAUAUUUGAAGCUUUUGAAAUUUUGAGGUAUGUUUGUUACGUUAUUGAUUUACUUAGUUUGAUUUAUUCAAAUUUUUGAAUUUUAAUCCCAAGUUUGGAGUAUAUUAAGAUUUUAUAUAACUUAUUUAUUAUUUGCAUACUAAAGUAGUCCUUUAAAGCCCCGUGCCAUACUAAAGUUCUAAAAGGAACAUGGGAGUUUAAAGGAUUGCGCAACACCUAGAUGGCUCUGCUGGCUCUUUUUACCUGUUUCAGUUCGUCGUCCUCAUCCUUGAUUUUUUAUGGAAGGACGACGGCCUUUGCAUUUCGCGAUUCUUGGAGAAAAACCUGCCUACCUCGACCCGCCACGAAGGAAAAGCAGUUAAAGCUAAGGUUCUAACUUUAGAACCACUGGAUAACAUUCGAAGAUAACUGGUGAACUCGACUCUCUCGUAAGAGAAUGCUUUUGUGUAUUGAAAAAGCACCUACAUUAACUAUGUAACAUUCUUGCCGACCCCCCCACUGUCUGCCUCUUCCGUCGUAGUCUUUGAAACCUACGUCAUCAACACUUCUAGGGAGUCAAUGGUUGAAACUUUCCUGCCCAAAUCCAUAAGUUUUCAAAAAUUUCCAUGAGUGAAGGUCUUUCCACCACAAGCAGUAGUUAUCAAUUUAUGAUUAGCGAUUGGGAACAGGACUUCAGCCAUCGGAGUUAUAUCUAUGCCAUUUCGUAACCUUAACUUUCAUACGAAUAAAUAAUUUUAAAGAA